Long non-coding RNA from Gallus gallus (chicken), 1273 nucleotides. The record is from Ensembl. NCBI's taxonomy places the organism in Eukaryota, Metazoa, Chordata, Aves, Galliformes, Phasianidae.
AACAAGGCAAAUCAAAUACAAAGAAUAUCUUCCAUAUGAGGAAAAGUAGAAAGCCUCUUUAGCCCAGAGAAGAGAUGGCUGAAGAAAAGUGUGACAGGAUUAUGAAAUCAAGUUUGGCAGACAGAGUUUGACUUCAGUGUGGUUUCUCAUUGUCCCUUUGAUAUAAGAACCAUCAGUGCCCCAUAAAUUAGGAGGUAGUGACUACAAAACAAAAAGCAGUUGUUUUUUUUUUAAUAUGCACUAUGCAGUGUCAAACUGCUUAACAGAGGAUACAGUGGGUCAUUGAGGUUUAUGUGCAUUCAAAAAGAAGUUAAAUAUCAUUGUGGGAGAAAAAGAAAUCCACCCACACUGGUUAAAUAGAAGACCCUAUUUUUGCUUCCGAGGCCUCUGAGCUUCAUAUCAUCAAGUAUUCUGGGUGGUACUGCUACUGCAGUAGCUAUGCCCCCUUCUCGCACUGCCCACAAUAAUAGCUCUUGACCACUAUCAGAGAUAAGAUGGUGGGCAAUACAUACUUGGAGCUAAUUGCGAACAGUUGUUCUUGCUUUUCUUCAGUGCUCCAGGAUCAUGUGCAACGACUGAUCCUGACACAUCCUGCCCUGUAUCCAAAAAGUCAGCAUUAAAGAGUUGCAGUGGUGUACUGCUGACCCCACGUCUGCACUGCCACAUCAGGAUUCAGGUCACCUGCAUUGAUAGUCCUCUUUCAAAUGAUACUCUCAGCAGUGGCAGAGCUGUCUGCGGUGAUAACAGCUUGUCUGGGGAACAUAAAGCAGGAGACACUGUGCUGGACUGCAGGCGCUUCCUGGAGGGAAGGCAGGGACCCAGAGGCACCAUGUUUUGUCACAGCCAAUGGGGUUGUGUGGCACACACUGCACUGAGCGAGGACCAUCAGAGCCAGCACACUCCUGAGUUCUGCCCGCUGGAGCAGCUCAGAGCAAGGCAGGAUGCUUAAGCAAGGGUGAGGAGGGCUGCAGUGGCUCUGUCUGAUUUCUGUCACAUUUCCCAUCUUCACAUGGAAUUUGUCUGGGCAGCUGCUGUUCCCACAAGGGGAGUUCAAAUGAAUGACUGCUUUUCAUAUUACAUAAUGCAAUUCCAAAUACUCCAGUGCAGAUGUACUAUCCCUAUUCCAAGAAUAAAUUACCAAGUUGCUCUGUCUCAUUCUGGAGCAAUCCACCAGAGGCGAAACUGAAAACAAGAUUUUUUUGUAGUUGUACCGAAGCUUUGCAGUCAAUUUUAAGCCUCUUAGACAGCAUAAUAUUGAAUGCAAGAUCCUGCU